RNAcentral lists this ribosomal RNA (427 nucleotides) under uncultured Desulfobulbus sp. RNAcentral describes it as "bacterial SSU rRNA". It matches the Rfam family "Bacterial small subunit ribosomal RNA", at positions 956 to 1382 of the family's 1533-position model. Lineage: Bacteria; Pseudomonadati; Thermodesulfobacteriota; Desulfobulbia; Desulfobulbales; Desulfobulbaceae. The record is from RNAcentral.
GCAACGCGAAGAACCUUACCAGGCCUUGACAUGCAGAGAACUUUCCAGAGAUGGAUUGGUGCCUUCGGGAACUCUGACACAGGUGCUGCAUGGCUGUCGUCAGCUCGUGUCGUGAGAUGUUGGGUUAAGUCCCGCAACGAGCGCAACCCUUGCCUUUAGUUGCCAGCAGUUCGGCUGGGCACUCUAAAGGGACUGCCGGGUGUUAAACCGGAGGAAGGUGGGGAUGACGUCAAGUCCUCAUGGCCUUUAUGACCAGGGCUACACACGUACUACAAUGGCCGAUACAAAGGGCAGCGACACUGCGAGGUGAAGCCAAUCCCGUAAAAUCGGUCUCAGUCCGGAUUGGAGUCUGCAACUCGACUCCAUGAAGUUGGAAUCGCUAGUAAUCGUGGAUCAGCAUGCCACGGUGAAUACGUUCCCGGGCCUU